UAAAAAAACCCUAAUCCCGAAACCCAUAUAUUUUUCUUCCUUUCGAACCCUAAAUCCUGGAAAACUCUAAACUCUCUAAUUCCUAACCUCUCCUCAUCUCCCUCUACCUUUAUUUUUGUCUCUCCCACUCCCACUCCCUCUCAUACCUACCCCCUACAACACCCUUUCCUCACUAUCGUCAUUGCCGCCUUUGCCAUUGCCACUUCCAGCUUCAACAACACCACUUACUACCUUUGUUGACAUAAGACCAAAUGGCAUAUGAGAUGAUGAAUUCAAAUCCCCUUCUUUUAAUUCCAUAUUCAAGGUACACGGUAGCAGAUGUCUCCUACUUGAUAGGAACGUUCUAUUCCCUCGAUGAAUAGGUGAUUGGCUGCAGUUAUUAGUUGCGGGUUUCUACUAAAUUUAUGGUCCAUUUUUUGCCUUUGACCUUGGUUUUAGGUUUUGGAGGUAGUUUCAAGCAUCUUGGUGUUGGGAUUACUAAUAAGUGUGAGAGUAGCAGAAAUUGAAAGGGUAAGAAGUGUGGAGUAUCAAACUAUAAAUUGCCAGAAACACAAUGCAGUGCUAACAAACUUUGGAGGAAAUGGUGAUGGAGAAAAGAUGAACACUAAGGCCUUUAACUCUAUAAUUGAUCAUCUCAAUAAGUUUGCUUCAAAUGGAGGAGCAGAGCUCAUUGUGCCUCCUAGGAAAUGGUUGACUUAGUGCUUUGAUCUCACAAGCCAUUUCACUCUAAUAUCCUAAUCUACUAUUGCAUUGUAUUCACAUUUAUGAGUCUAUUAUAAUGCACUUGUAACUCAUAAUGUGUUCCUCCAUUUCUUAAAUUAGUUUUCUCAUCCUUUUGAUGAUUACUUAUUGACAGAAACUUAAAAAAGUUUAUGUAAUUAAAUGAUUGAUCAUGAUAGAAAUCAUUCCUCUA
This is a long non-coding RNA of Vitis vinifera (wine grape), 913 nucleotides long. RefSeq lists it as uncharacterized. The transcript has 3 exons. The record is from RefSeq and is a predicted model, not a curated record. Lineage: Eukaryota; Viridiplantae; Streptophyta; Magnoliopsida; Vitales; Vitaceae.